This 253-nucleotide ribosomal RNA is filed under the name uncultured bacterium. Its description in RNAcentral is "partial 16S ribosomal RNA". It matches the Rfam family "Bacterial small subunit ribosomal RNA", at positions 524 to 776 of the family's 1533-position model. The record is from RNAcentral.
UACGAAGGGUGCAAGCGUUAAUCGGAAUUACUGGGCGUAAAGCGUGCGUAGACGGUUAUGUAAGUCAGAUGUGAAAGCCCCGGGCUCAACCUGGGAAUUGCAUUUGAGACUGCAUAGCUAGGGUGCGGAAGAGGGAAGCGGAAUUUCCGGUGCAGCGGUGAAAUGCGUAGAUAUCGGGAGGAACACCAGUGGCGAAAGCGGCUUCCUGGUCCAGCACCGACGUUCAGGCACGAAAGCGUGGGGAGCAAACAGG